RNAcentral lists this ribosomal RNA (420 nucleotides) under uncultured bacterium. RNAcentral's name for it is "bacterial SSU rRNA". It matches the Rfam family "Bacterial small subunit ribosomal RNA", at positions 360 to 773 of the family's 1533-position model. The record is from RNAcentral.
AAUUGUUCGCAAUGGGCGCAAGCCUGACGACGCGACGCCGCGUGAGUGAUGAAGGCCUUCGGGUUGUAAAGCUCUGUGGAGAGGGAAGAAUAAGUGUUGGCUAACAUCCAGCAUGAUGACGGUACCUCUUUAGCAAGCACCGGCUAACUCUGUGCCAGCAGCCGCGGUAAGACAGAGGGUGCAAACGUUGUUCGGAAUUACUGGGCGUAAAGCGCGUGUAGGCGGCUUGGCAAGUCGGGUGUGAAAGCCCCGGGCUCAACCUGGGAAGUGCACUCGAAACUGCUUGGCUUGAGUACUGGAGAGGGAAGCGGAAUUCUCGGUGUAGAGGUGAAAUUCGUAGAUAUCGAGAGGAACACCGGUGGCGAAGGCGGCUUCCUGGACAGUUACUGACGCUGAGACGCGAAAGCGUGGGGAGCAAAC